Long non-coding RNA from Cavia porcellus (domestic guinea pig), 2223 nucleotides. RefSeq lists it as uncharacterized. The record is from RefSeq and is a predicted model, not a curated record. The transcript has 3 exons. NCBI's taxonomy places the organism in Eukaryota, Metazoa, Chordata, Mammalia, Rodentia, Caviidae.
AGCUCCCCCAAAGUGAACCACAACCAUUCUCAGCAACAAGGUCCCUAGUUCCUCCAGUGUUAAUGGCUGAGUUCAUAUCAAGGAAGCCAGCCAUGACAAGCUCCUCCAAGAGAACCAGCAACUCCAAAUGACAACACUUAGGAGAACUCAUAACUCUAACAGUAUUCCUUUCCACAUGCUCUUAUGCUGGCAACUUUCCUCAGGUGGACCAUCUACACUCAGCAGCACACCGAUGCAGUUCAGCUGGAUUUAAGCUGACCACCAGUUACCAGUCCACUACAAGAAACAAAUAAAAAAGAUUUUUGAAAUACGGAGGAAUAUGUCAUUGGACUAGAAUAAUGAAGAAUGAAGAUAAAUAACAGAUUAUACCACUUCAACCAAAGUGAUAUAAUGGUUCUAACCAGCUGUUGCUCCUGGUAUUCCAAGACUGAGAUUGCCUAAGGAUCGUAGAAAAUACAGUGGGCCAGUGCCAGAGAACCAGGAACUGGGUCAAGCAAGCAGCAACUUCUCAUUGCCAACAAAUUGAACAGGUAUGCACCUCCUUGACACAGACCUGAAGGAAUGGAAGCGCGUAUACCAUAGGAAGACCUGCAUACCUGUGUUUACAGUGACAUAAUUCACAAUGGCCAAGAUAUGGAGCCAGCCUUGGUGCCAAUCAACAAAUGAGCAAAGAAAAUGUGGCCCAUCAACAAGUGAAUGAAUAAAGAAAAUGUGGCAUCCAUGAAGGAGAAUGAAAUUUUAUCAUUUACAGAAAAAUGGAUGGAUCUAGAGAUCAUCACAUUGAGAAAAAAAGUGAGACAUAGAAAACUAAAUAUCACAUUUUCUCGCUUACAUGUGGAAUCAUUUGGCAGAGUCUUUAGCUUGUUCUAAGAAUAGUAUAUCAUCUGCAAACAAGGACAGUUUGACUCCUUCCUUUCCUAUUCAUAUCCCUUUUAUUUCUUUCUCUGCUAGGUUGCAGUAGCUAAAGUUCCAAGAUCUAUAUUGAAUAGGAGUGGUGAGAAUGGACACACAGCUCCUCUUCCUAAAGAGGACUAAGAUGUAAAUCCCCAAGGAAAUUCAUGAGCAGCCAAGUUUAACAGCCCUGCCUUAUGCCUUCUUGUCUCUAUUUCUAAAUUACUCAGGCUUGAAUUUAAUACGUAGGUAAUAAAUAAGAUUUUGUAUUGGCAAUCAUCUCUCUCUCUGUCUCUCUGUCUCUGUCUCUGUCUCUGUCUCUGCCUCUCUCUGCCUUUCUCUCUCUCUCUCUCUCUCUCUCUCUCUCUCUCUCUCUCUUUCUCUCUCUGUUUUCCUCUCUCCCUUAUUUUUGUAUAUAAUUCCAUGAAAGCUUCAUUACUUCCCUGGGUUUUAAUUCUUAAUGUAUAGGGGCUGGGGAUUUAGCUCAGCGGCAUUAAGUGCCUGUCUUGCAAGCAGGCAGUCAUGAGUUUGAUCCCCAGUACCGAUAAAAAGGAAAAAGACAAAAAAAAAUUCUUAAUGUAUAAAAUAACUCAUAAUCCUAAAGAACAAAAUCAGACGAUCUAAAAGGACAAAUAACAAAAUAUGUGAGAAUACUUUAAAGUUUCAAAUCAAAAGUAAGUUUAUAAAGGGAACCCUUCUCCACUGUUGGUGGGAAUGCAAACCAGUGCAACCACUGUGGAAAUCAGUGUGGGGAUUCCUCAAAAUCUAGGAUUGGUGGUCAUUUUUGGGUAUCUUCCCAAGAGAAUUAAAAACAUCAUACCACAGUGAUAUACGUGCACCCAUGUUUAUAGCAGCACAGUUUAUCAUAGCUAGAUCUUAGAAACAAUAUAAAUGCCCAUCUACUGAGGAAUGGAUAAAAAAAGAUGAGGUAUUUUUAUACAGUGGAGUACUACUCAGCCAUAAAGAAAGAUAAACUGGACACUUACAGGUAAAUUGAUGCAACUUGAGAGCAUAUUCAUUAGUAAAAUAAAUAAGACACACAUGUGUGAACAUCAUAGUUCCAUUAGUGUGACAAGCUGAAAGAAAAACAUGUAUUUGUGUAUGUAGAAGUAUAUAAAAAUAGUAAAAUAGUUACACUACUGAUUUCUCUGAGUUCAGUAAAGAGAAAGAUUUGUGCUGGUGUUGUUUGGACAAUUGAAUGUAGAUGUCUUGUGCUCUAGGUGAAUAAUUUGGGGAUGACACUGCACAAUGUAUGUACCAUUGUUACCCCUUGAAAUAUUUUUAUUCUUUUUUUCUUUCUUUUUAUCCUUCAAUAAAAUGGAUUUGAAAAAA